Molecule: ribosomal RNA, 211 nt
Filed under: uncultured methanogenic archaeon
Lineage: Archaea; Methanobacteriati; Methanobacteriota
Description: partial 16S ribosomal RNA
Rfam family: Archaeal small subunit ribosomal RNA
Source: RNAcentral
CGAUAAGGGGACAUCCAGGGCCAACCUCAUAUGCAGGCUGUCCAGAUGUGUAAAAAAAAUCUGUUAGCAAGGGCCGGGCAAAACCGGUUCCAGCCGCCGCGGUAACACCGGCGGCCCGAGUGGUGAUCGUGAUUAUUGGGUCUAAAGGGUCCGUAACCGGUUUGGUCAGUCUUCCGGGAAAUUGGAGGGGUCAACCAUAGGCUUUAGGGGG